Molecule: ribosomal RNA, 484 nt
Filed under: uncultured bacterium
Lineage: Bacteria
Description: partial 16S ribosomal RNA
Rfam family: Bacterial small subunit ribosomal RNA
Source: RNAcentral
AUUGAACGCUGGCGGCAGGCCUAACACAUGCAAGUCGAGCGGAUGAAGUGAGCUUGCUCCUGGAUUCAGCGGCGGACGGGUGAGUAAUGCCUAGGAAUCUGCCUGGUAGUUUGGGAUAACGUCCUUAAACGGGCGCUAAUACCGCAUACGUCCUGAGUGAGAAAGUGGGUGAUCUUCGUACCUCACGCUAUCAGAUUAUCCUUGGUCGGAUUAGCUAGUUGUUGGGGUAAAGGCCUACCAAGGCGACGAUCCGUAACUGGUCUGAGAGGAUGAUCAGUCAAACUGGAACUGAGAAAAGGUCCAGACUACUACGGGAGGCAGCAGUGGGGAAUAUUGGAAAAUGGGCGAAAGCAUGAUCCAGCAAAGCCGAGUGUGUGAAGAAGGUCUUCGGAUUGUAAAGCACUUUAAGUUGGGAGGAAGGGAAGUAAGUUAAUACCUUGCUGUUGUGACGUUACCAACAGAAUAAGCACCGGCUAACUUCGUG